This 253-nucleotide ribosomal RNA is filed under the name uncultured bacterium. Its description in RNAcentral is "partial 16S ribosomal RNA". It matches the Rfam family "Bacterial small subunit ribosomal RNA", at positions 524 to 776 of the family's 1533-position model. The record is from RNAcentral.
UACGAAGGGGGCUAGCGUUGUUCGGAUUUACUGGGCGUAAAGCGCACGUAGGCGGAUCGUUAAGUCGGGGGUGAAAUCCUGGAGCUCAACUCCAGAACUGCCUUCGAUACUGGCGAUCUCGAGUCCGGAAGAGGUGAGUGGAACUCCUAGUGUAGAGGUGGAAUUCGUAGAUAUUAGGAAGAACACCAGUGGCGAAGGCGCUCACUGGUCCGGUAACUGACGCUGAGGUGCGAAAGCGUGGGGAGCAAACAGG